RNAcentral lists this microRNA precursor (76 nucleotides) under Myotis brandtii (Brandt's bat). RNAcentral describes it as "mir-9229 microRNA precursor family". It matches the Rfam family "mir-9229 microRNA precursor family". The record is from Rfam by way of RNAcentral. Lineage: Eukaryota; Metazoa; Chordata; Mammalia; Chiroptera; Vespertilionidae.
GAGACACCUCUAUGGAACAGGACUUACUUCAGUGGGGUGUUGGUGCUUACUGAGUCUUUCCCUUGAGUGUGUCACU